RNAcentral lists this ribosomal RNA (481 nucleotides) under uncultured bacterium. RNAcentral describes it as "bacterial SSU rRNA". It matches the Rfam family "Bacterial small subunit ribosomal RNA", at positions 32 to 524 of the family's 1533-position model. The record is from RNAcentral.
AAUCAACGCUGGCGGCGUGCCUCAGACAUGCAAGUCGAACGAUUAAGACUCUCUUCGGAGAGUGCAUAAAGUGGCGCACGGGUGAGUAACACGUAAGUAAUCUACCCUCGAGUGGGGAAUAACGUCCGGAAACGGACGCUAAUACCGCAUAAUGCAGCGGCACCGCAGGGUGACAGUUGUUAAAGAUUUAUCGCUUGGGGAGGAGCUUGCGGCAGAUUAGCAGUUGGUAAGGUAAUGGCUUACCAAGGCUACGAUCUGUAACCGGUCUAAGAGGACGGUCGGUCACACUGACACUGAAUAACGGGUCAGACUCCUACGGGAGGCAGCAGUCGGGAAUUUUGGGCAAUGGGCGAAAGCCUGACCCAGCAACGCCGCGUGAAGGAUGAAGUAUUUCGGUAUGUAAACUUCGAAAGAAUGGGAAGAAUUAAUGACGGUACCAUUUAUAAGGUCCGGCUAACUACGUGACAGCCGCCGCCGUAAC